RNAcentral lists this unclassified non-coding RNA (205 nucleotides) under uncultured Cortinarius. Its description in RNAcentral is "sequence contains ITS2". The record is from RNAcentral. Lineage: Eukaryota; Fungi; Basidiomycota; Agaricomycetes; Agaricales; Cortinariaceae.
AUAUAUCAAUCUCUUCAGCUUUUGCUUGUUGAGUGUUGGAUGUGGGGGUCUUUUUUGUUGGUCUUUUAGAGAGAGGUCAGCUCCCCUAAAAUGUAUUAGCAGAACAAAUAUGUUGACCGUUCAUUGGUGUGAUAAUUAUCUAUGCUAUUGACGUGAGGCAGUUCAGCUUCUAAUAGUCCAUUGACUUGGACAGUUUCUUUUAUUA